CAGGAAACUUGGCGUAUGUCGCAAGUCACGACUUCACAGGAGAGCCAUUUGAAUGGAGGGCAUGACUGUGUAUCUGAAGCAGUUGAUCAUUGAACAUCACACACUCUUCAAACAGUUGUACCCACAUAAAAACAUAAUACCCAAACAUCACUUUAUGAUACAUUACCCAGCAUGCAAAAGACAAAUCGAUCCUUUCUUACGCACAGUAUGUGGAGCAUGAGGUUUGAGGCAAAGCACAAACUCUUUAAGAGCUCGAUAGUCAAUACAUGGGCGCAGACCCCACUCUUUCUUCUUCACAAAAAAGAAACUCGAGGAGGCAGGUGAAGUAGAGGACUGAAUGUACCCCUGACGCAGGGAUUCGGAGACAUAAGUUUCCAUAGCCACCGUCUCCACCUGUGAGAGGGGAUACACGUGACUCCUGGGAAGUGCAGCGUCUACCAGGAGAUUUACCGGACCAUGCCCCCCGACGAUGGGGUGGUAAUUGAGUCGCCUUCUUUUUGGAGAAGGCGAGAGCCAAAUCGGAAGUAUUCGGGGGGAAUGUGCACGGUGGAGACCUGGUCUGGACUUUCCACCGUAGUAGCACCAACGGAAACCCCUAAACACCUCCCCGAUCACUCUCGCGAACACCCCGUGAGAGCCCUCCGUUGCCAUGAAACAGUGGGGUCAUGACAGGCUAACCAGUGUAGGCCUAGCACCACGGGAAACACAGGAGAGUCAAUGAGGAAGAGACUGAUUCUCUCCUUGUGACCCCCCUGCGUCACCAUGCCCAGAGGACCGGUGGCCUCCCUAAACAACCCUGACCCUAAUGGUCGACUGUCUAAGGCGUGAACUGGGAAGGGCAUAGCCACUGGAACAAUGGGGAUCCCUAAACUAUGGGCGAAUGAUCUGUCUAUGAAAUUCCCAGCUGUGCCUGAAUCGACGAGCGCCUUAUGCGGGGAAAACUCAGGAAAAGUAACAUACAAAAACAGGUGUGCAACAGAGGGCUCUGGGUGAGAAUGUUGCCGGCUUACCUGGGGUGAUGCCAGAGUGCCCUGCCUGCUGCCUCGACCCCCAGAGGAACUAACACGACACCGACCGGCAGUGUGACCUCUGCGGCCACAGAUGGUGCACGUGAAGGAACCUCCUCCGGUGUGCAGCACCUCCCAGCUCCAUGGGUAUUGGAGCAGUAGUGCUGGGGGAUGAAACCGAAAGGUCCAGCUCUGAACGUCCGCGGAUAGCCAGCAGGUUAUCCAGCUGAAUGGACAGGUCCACCAGCUUGUCAAAAGUGAGGGUGGUGUCCCUACAAGCCAACUCCCAACGGACGUCCUCACGCAAACUGCAGCGAUAGUGGUCGAUCAGGGCCCUGUCGUUCCAUCCCGCACUGGCGGCCAGGGUCCAAAAGUCAAUCGCGAACUCCUGCGCGCACCUCGUCCCCUGCCUCAGGUGGAAAAGACGUUCAGGUGGAAAAGACGCGGGUGAAAUCCACACAGCGUUGGCCCACUCCAAGGCUUUCCAAGAGAGGCACGAGACGAGGACGGACACCCUCUCACGGCCCGAGGGAGCCGGGUGGACGGUCGCCAG
Molecule: long non-coding RNA, 1560 nt
Filed under: Salmo salar (Atlantic salmon)
Lineage: Eukaryota; Metazoa; Chordata; Actinopteri; Salmoniformes; Salmonidae
Description: lncRNA (ENSSSAG00000106029.1, ENSSSAG00000115417.1)
Source: RNAcentral